GACGAACGCUGGCGGCGUGCCUAACACAUGCAAGUCGAACGAGGUCCAAGGAAGCUUGCUUCCUGAAGACCUAGUGGCGAACGGGUGAGUAACACGUGAGAAACCUGCCUCGGAGUGGGGAAUAACUCGGGGAAACUCGAGCUAAUACCGCAUACCUUCACAUGAUCGCAUGGUCGAGUGAAGAAAGAAUUUCGCUCUGAGAGGGUCUCGCGGCCUAUCAGCUUGUUGGUGGGGUAACGGCCUACCAAGGCAACGACGGGUAGCUGGUUUGAGAGAACGAUCAGCCACACUGGGACUGAGACACGGCCCAGACUCCUACGGGAGGCAGCAGUGGGGAAUCUUGCGCAAUGGGCGAAAGCCUGACGCAGCAACGCCGCGUGCGGGAUGACGGCCUUCGUGGUUGUGAACCGCUUUCAGCAGGGACGAAAAUGACGGUACCUGCAGAAGAAGCCCCGGCUAACUACGUGCCAGCAGCCGCGGUAAU
This 484-nucleotide ribosomal RNA is filed under the name uncultured bacterium. RNAcentral's name for it is "bacterial SSU rRNA". It matches the Rfam family "Bacterial small subunit ribosomal RNA", at positions 28 to 524 of the family's 1533-position model. The record is from RNAcentral.